AGGGUUUGAUUAUGGCUCAGGACGAACGCUGGCGGCGUGCUUAACACAUGCAAGUCGAACGGAGCACCCUUGAUUGAGGUUUCGGCCAAAUGAUAGGAAUGCUUAGUGGCGGACUGGUGAGUAACGCGUGAGGAACCUGCCUCUCAGAGGGGGACAACAGUUGGAAACGACUGCUAAUACCGCAUGACACAUUCGGGCGGCAUCGCCUGGAUGUCAAAGAUUUUAUCGCUGAGAGAUGGCCUCGCGUCUGAUUAGCUAGUUGGUGAGGUAACGGCCCACCAAGGCGACGAUCAGUAGCCGGACUGAGAGGUUGACCGGCCACAUUGGGACUGAGAUACGGCCCAG
Molecule: ribosomal RNA, 345 nt
Filed under: uncultured bacterium
Lineage: Bacteria
Description: bacterial SSU rRNA
Rfam family: Bacterial small subunit ribosomal RNA
Source: RNAcentral